Cyprinus carpio carpio is the source of this 1527-nucleotide long non-coding RNA. The record is from Ensembl. Lineage: Eukaryota; Metazoa; Chordata; Actinopteri; Cypriniformes; Cyprinidae.
CUAUCGUUCCCUCUCUGUCAUUCUCUCCCCUCCCACCUCCUCAUGCGGUCGCUUGCAUACACAUGCGCCCUUACGAUCUCGCUCUCUUUUCCUCUCUCUCCGCCGGCUGCAGUGCUUCUCUUCUCAUCCUUGCAGCCUGGCAGCUUCAUCCGUGUUCCUCCCUCCUAGAUGGAGAAACACGCACAGCCUUUCCAAUGGUCCCCCCACCCCUCUGCGUGCCUCCCUUAAAAAAACCCCCAGGCCCCUUAAACAGCUCCUUUUCCUACUUGUCUCGGUGCCUGAUCACCAUUCGCUCUCCUUUGCACUUCACUUACAUUCUUAUUUUUUCUCUUUUUUUUCCGUUAAAUAAUUUGCCAGCUCUAUCCCACAAAUUUUCACAUUCAUAAUGUGAAAGCAGUUCAGAGUGCAGAAUGAACAGUAGGAAAUGGGAUGGGUAGGAGGAAAAAACGCUAAGAGGAGAGAAGUGACUGGGAUAGCGGAGAGGAGGAAGGAUCCGGAGCAACGGGAGAAAGAGCCGAACGUGGGAUCAACGAAACCGCGGGAAAAGGAGGAGGAACGACCAGACUGGAAUGCUGUGGAAAUACAGUUUGGAAUCAUCAUUGUUACUCCUUCUUCAAGACCGGAAUGAUGGAAAGAAUUUCAGCAUGUACGACUAAAUAUCAUUUGGAACAUCAUGUGGGUCGCAACCUCAGAAGAUUUGGAGACGGCACUCGAUUUGAAGAUUUGGAGAAGAAACCGUCAUUGUGAGAGUGAUGCAUUUACUUUUUUUGUCAAAUGACAAAGGAAAGACGGAAGGUAAAGAAGUGUCGUCAUCCGAGAUUAGUAUGCGGCUACUUCUACUCCACGUUACCUGAAACGGCACCCCAGAUUUUCAGACAUCCGUGAUAUCAGCUUCAGACCACUUUGACGCAGCUGUCGGGGAUGGUACCCAUUGGCUGACUUUGUGCCCUGACCACUCGGAGCGACCAAUCCAAAGCCAGCCUAGGUUCACGACCCCUAUACAUUUCUCCCGAGGCUUUGAUGCGAAUCUGUUCCAUGAAACCAUUUUACGGGCUAGCCUGCCAUCUUGUGCUCAUUAUUGUCAAACAUUUUGGUGAUGGAUAUUGCCCCGGAGCGGCUCAUAUGAGACAUGGUGUUUUUAUUCUUUUUCUGCAGUGAAGAUAAUUAGAUUUUAUAGCGUGAGACAGCGUGAACUUUUAAGAGAAUGUAUAAGCGUUGUUUGUUUUUCAAUUAGAUACAGUUUGGUACUAUAUCUGUAAAAUAUGUAGGCAGUAUGAUUCAUUACAAGAUUCAUCAAGUAUAUCAUUAGUAUUAAAAUAUAUCAUAUGGAGCAUAUUUUUCUUAUGUGUCCAUUAUCCAAUGCAUUCAUUUACAAUUUUUGCAUAACCUGAAAUCACAAAAUCUGAUCUAAAACCUUAUACAGUGACCUGAAAAUCAAAGCAAACUCGUGGAUAAUCCUUGACCGUAUUAUAUAAUAUGCAUCACAUUUUCUCCCAACCAUAUGUUUAUGUCUUUUGUUCUACUCAG